RNAcentral lists this ribosomal RNA (253 nucleotides) under uncultured bacterium. RNAcentral's name for it is "partial 16S ribosomal RNA". It matches the Rfam family "Bacterial small subunit ribosomal RNA", at positions 524 to 776 of the family's 1533-position model. The record is from RNAcentral.
UACGUAGGUGACCAGCGUUGUCCGGAUUUACUGGGCGUAAAGAGCGCGCAGGCGGUCGUUCAAGUCGAGUGUGAAAGCCCCCGGCUCAACUGGGGAGGGUCAUUCGAUACUGAUCGACUGGAAGGCAGGAGAGGGAAGCGGAAUUCCCGGUGUAGUGGUGAAAUGCGUAGAUAUCGGGAGGAACACCAGUGGCGAAGGCGGCUUCCUGGCCUGUUCUUGACGCUGAGGAGCGAAAGCCAGGGGAGCAAACGGG